This is a non-coding RNA of Nomascus leucogenys (northern white-cheeked gibbon), 316 nucleotides long. It matches the Rfam family "7SK RNA". Rfam says of the family: 7SK was discovered as an abundant small nuclear RNA in the mid-70s but a possible function has only recently been suggested. NCBI's taxonomy places the organism in Eukaryota, Metazoa, Chordata, Mammalia, Primates, Hylobatidae. The record is from Rfam.
GGAUGUGAGGAUGAUCUGGCUGCAACAUCUGUCACCCCAUUGGUUGCUAGGGUUGACUGGGAUGAUCUGGCUGGUUGGGCGGGUGUCCCAUUCCUCCCUCACCACUCUAUGUGCGUCCCUCCCAAAGCUGCAUGCUCAAAAAGGAUGACCAUCCCUAAUAGAGAAGGACCGGUCUUUGGUCAAGGGUAUAUGAGUAGCUGCACUCUUCUGCUAGGACCUCCAGACAAGCUCUCCAAAGUCAUAACAGAGAUACGAAGAUAAUAAGGAACUUGCGUUUAUUUGUUUCCUUGAUCAUGUUUAUUGAUUAGAAGAAAAU